This 71-nucleotide transfer RNA is filed under the name Marmota monax (woodchuck). RNAcentral describes it as "tRNA.Thr". It matches the Rfam family "tRNA". Rfam says of the family: Transfer RNA (tRNA) molecules are approximately 80 nucleotides in length. Their secondary structure includes four short double-helical elements and three loops (D, anti-codon, and T loops). Lineage: Eukaryota; Metazoa; Chordata; Mammalia; Rodentia; Sciuridae. The record is from RNAcentral.
GGGGUUGUAGCUCAGUGGUUGAGCGCUUGCCUUGUAUGCAUGAGGCACUGGAUUCUAUCCUCAGCACCACA